RNAcentral lists this ribosomal RNA (562 nucleotides) under uncultured Glomeromycotina. RNAcentral describes it as "SSU rRNA". It matches the Rfam family "Eukaryotic small subunit ribosomal RNA", at positions 548 to 1114 of the family's 1831-position model. The record is from RNAcentral. Lineage: Eukaryota; Fungi; Glomeromycota.
UUGGAGGGCAAGUCUGGUGCCAGCAGCCGCGGUAAUUCCAGCUCCAAUAGCGUAUAUUAAAGUUGUUGCAGUUAAAAAGCUCGUAGUUGAAUUUCGGGAUCAAUUUGUUGGUCGUGCCUCGGUACGUACUGGCAUUAUUGGUUUCUACCUUCUGAAGAACCUUGAUGUCAUUAAUUUGGUGUCUUGGGGAAUCAGGACUGUUACUUUGAAAAAAUUAGAGUGUUAAAAGCAGGCAUACGCUUGAAUACAUUAGCAUGGAAUAAUGAAAUAGGACGUUUGAUUCUAUUUUGCUGGUUUCUAGGAUCGACGUAAUGAUUAAUAGGGAUAGUUGGGGGCAUUAGUAUUCAAUCGUCAGAGGUGAAAUUCUUGGAUUUAUUGAAGACUAACUACUGCGAAAGCAUUUGCCAAGGAUGUUUUCAUUAAUCAAGAACGAAAGUUAGGGGAUCGAAGACGAUCAGAUACCGUCGUAGUCUUAACCAUAAACUAUGCCGACUAGGGAUCGGAUGAUGUUAUUUUUAAUGACUCAUUCGGCGCCUUACGGGAAACCAAAGUGUUUGGGUUC